GAUGAGGCCAUUAGUGGCUCCC
RNAcentral lists this non-coding RNA (22 nucleotides) under Arabidopsis thaliana (thale cress). The record is from RNAcentral. Lineage: Eukaryota; Viridiplantae; Streptophyta; Magnoliopsida; Brassicales; Brassicaceae.